This 152-nucleotide small RNA is filed under the name Streptomyces albus. RNAcentral describes it as "c-di-AMP sequence". It matches the Rfam family "c-di-AMP riboswitch aptamer (ydaO/yuaA leader)". Rfam says of the family: This family represents a conserved RNA structure found upstream of the ydaO and yuaA genes in Bacillus subtilis and related genes in other bacteria. The ydaO/yuaA element is thought to act as a genetic "off" switch for the ydaO and yuaA genes in its native state. Lineage: Bacteria; Bacillati; Actinomycetota; Actinomycetes; Kitasatosporales; Streptomycetaceae. The record is from RNAcentral.
GACGCGCAAGCGCCGAAGGCAGGAGCGGGGGACCCAGGAUUUUCGCCGGGAGCCUCCCGGCUGGGGGUUAAGCCCGGUGCGCCGCGCGCACCGGCCGGGCAACUCACGCCCGCACCCGACAGCUCACCUCGUAGGCGUCGGUGAGGAAACGA